RNAcentral lists this unclassified non-coding RNA (281 nucleotides) under Hevea brasiliensis (rubber tree). Lineage: Eukaryota; Viridiplantae; Streptophyta; Magnoliopsida; Malpighiales; Euphorbiaceae. The record is from RNAcentral.
AUUAGGAUCAUGUCAAACAGAUGUAAAUGCUUAACGACUAUAGGACAGCAAAUUAAACAAUUGAUAGAGACAUUAGAAUCUGCUUUUUUAUAUUUUAUAAAAAAAAAAUUAGAUUUAUGAGAGUGGACUAUGUAGAUAUAUUUUUCUCACCAGAUAUAAAAUUACUUAUUACUCGAUAUUUCUUUUGAUAAUUUUUAUUUAAUCAUUCUAUAUGUUUAAUUUAAUUAAUUAUAUCUAUUCAUUAAAAUUUGAUUUAUUAAAAAAAUUUUAAAUUAUAUAAA